RNAcentral lists this long non-coding RNA (452 nucleotides) under Coccomyxa subellipsoidea. Its description in RNAcentral is "long non-coding RNA (CSUB_LNC000790)". The record is from RNAcentral. Lineage: Eukaryota; Viridiplantae; Chlorophyta; Trebouxiophyceae; Coccomyxaceae.
GAGCCUGCGGCGAUGGAGUCCUUGGAGAGAGCAAGCACGGCACUGGUGGAAAUGGAUGUGCCUCGCGAGAAUGCAUUGGUACAGCUGGAUGCCAGGUGGCGAGCGCUGACUAAGGAUCCUGCGGCAGCUGCCCUCUCGCUGGAAGCUGCCCAGCUGGCAGAACGACAGGUACACAGUAAACCAUCCUCACAAUGCCUUCACAUCCUCGCUGUGCUUCUGCUUUUUGCGUUGUUAAGCCUGAGGUCCAAAGAGUGUUUAUGAGACAUUGCUCUGGCAGCCAUGCAGCUGGUGCCUUUUGGCCAGAUGCGUGGGCUUGACAUCAACUUGCAAUGGUUGAAGACAGACCAGGUCAUGCAGAGGUCUCAGCCUUGUGUGAAUGCCUGAUCAGGUGUCGCAGCUUGGGGCGGGAGUGAGAGACUCCAAGACGACAUCUGCUCUUGAAUUGAUCGGUC